GGGUUGUGAGGUUAAGCGACUAAGCGUACACGGUGGAUGCCUAGGCAAUCAGAGGCGAUGAAGGACGUGCUAAUCUGCGAUAAGCGUCGGUAAGGUGAUAUGAACCGUUACAACCGACGAUUUCCGAAUGGGGAAACCCAGUGCAAUUCGUUGCACUAUCGUUUGAUGAAUACAUAGUCAAACGAAGCGAACCGGGGGAACUGAAACAUCUCAGUACCCCGAGGAAAAGAAAUCAACCGAGAUUCCCCUAGUAGCGGCGAGCGAACGGGGAGCAGCCCAGAGUCUUAAUCAGCAUUAGCAUCAGGAGAACGGUCUGGAAAGUCCGGCAGUAAAGGGUGAUAGCCCCGUAUCCGAAGGUGUUAGUGUUGUGAACUCGACGAGUAGGGCGGGACACGUGUUAUCCUGUCUGAAUAUGGGGGGACCAUCCUCCAAGGCUAAAUACUCCUGAUUGACCGAUAGUGAACCAGUACCGUGAGGGAAAGGCGAAAAGAACCCCGGCGAGGGGAGUGAAAUAGAACCUGAAACCGUGUACGUACAAGCAGUGGGAGCCUUGAUUUAUCAGGGUGACUGCGUACCUUUUGUAUAAUGGGUCAGCGACUUAUAUUCUGUAGCAAGGUUAACCGUAUAGGGGAGCCGUAGGGAAACCGAGUCUUAACUGGGCGAAUAAGUUGCAGGGUAUAGACCCGAAACCCGGUGAUCUAGCCAUGGGCAGGUUGAAGGUUGGGUAACACUAACUGGAGGACCGAACCGACUAAUGUUGAAAAAUUAGCGGAUGACUUGUGGCUGGGGGUGAAAGGCCAAUCAAACCGGGAGAUAGCUGGUUCUCCCCGAAAGCUAUUUAGGUAGCGCCUCGUGAACUCAUCUUCGGGGGUAGAGCACUGUUUCGACUAGGGGGUCAUCCCGACUUACCAACUCGAUGCAAACUACGAAUACCGAAGAAUGUUAUCACGGGAGACACACGGCGGGUGCUAACGUUCGUCGUGAAGAGGGAAACAACCCAGACCGCCAGCUAAGGUCCCAAAGUCAUAGUUAAGUGGGAAACGAAGUGGGAAGGCUCAGACAGCCAGGAUGUUGGCUUAGAAGCAGCCAUCAUUUAAAGAAAGCGUAAUAGCUCACUGGUCGAGUCGGCCUGCGCGGAAGAUGUAACGGGGCUAAACUAUGCACCGAAGCUGCGGCAGCGAUAUGUAAAUAUUGUUGGGUAGGGGAGCGUUCUGUAAGCCUGUGAAGGUGUGCUGUGAGGCAUGCUGGAGGUAUCAGAAGUGCGAAUGCUGACAUAAGUAACGAUAAUGCGGGUGAAAAACCCGCACGCCGGAAGACCAAGGGUUCCUGUCCAACGUUAAUCGGGGCAGGGUGAGUCGACCCCUAAGGCGAGGCAGAAAUGCGUAGUCGAUGGGAAACGGGUUAAUAUUCCCGUACUGGUGAUAAUUGCGAUGGGGGGACGGAGAAGGCUAGGCUAUCCGGGCGACGGUUGUCCCGGUUUAAGGAUGUAGGCAGGUGAAUUAGGCAAAUCCGGUUCACUAUAUGCUGAGGUCCGAUGACGAGUCACUACGGUGAUGAAGUAGCUCAUGCCCCGCUUCCAGGAAAAGCCUCUAAGCUCUAGAUUAUCAUUAAUCGUACCCCAAACCGACACAGGUGGUCAGGUAGAGAAUACUCAGGCGCUUGAGAGAACUCGGGUGAAGGAACUAGGCAAAAUGGUGCCGUAACUUCGGGAGAAGGCACGCUGGCAUUAGGUGAAGUGAUUUACUCAUGGAGCUGAAGCCAGUCGCAGAUACCAGCUGGCUGCAACUGUUUAUUAAAAACACAGCACUGUGCAAACACGAAAGUGGACGUAUACGGUGUGACGCCUGCCCGGUGCUGGAAGGUUAAUUGAUGGGGUUAUCCGUAAGGAGAAGCUCUUGAUCGAAGCCCCAGUAAACGGCGGCCGUAACUAUAACGGUCCUAAGGUAGCGAAAUUCCUUGUCGGGUAAGUUCCGACCUGCACGAAUGGCGUAAUGAUGGCCAGGCUGUCUCCACCCGAGACUCAGUGAAAUUGAACUCGCUGUGAAGAUGCAGUGUACCCGCGGCAAGACGGAAAGACCCCGUGAACCUUUACUAUAGCUUGACACUGAACAUUGAGCCUUGAUGUGUAGGAUAGGUGGGAGGCUUUGAAGCGUGGACGCCAGUCUGCGUGGAGCCAACCUUGAAAUACCACCCUUUAAUGUUUGAUGUUCUAACGUUGCCCCGUUAUCCGGGGUGCGGACAGUGUCUGGUGGGUAGUUUGACUGGGGCGGUCUCCUCCCAAAGAGUAACGGAGGAGCACGAAGGUUGGCUAAGCAUGGUCGGACAUCAUGCGGUUAGUGCAAAGGCAUAAGCCAGCUUGACUGCGAGAGUGACGGCUCGAGCAGGUACGAAAGUAGGUCUUAGUGAUCCGGUGGUUCUGAAUGGAAGGGCCAUCGCUCAACGGAUAAAAGGUACUCCGGGGAUAACAGGCUGAUACCGCCCAAGAGUUCAUAUCGACGGCGGUGUUUGGCACCUCGAUGUCGGCUCAUCACAUCCUGGGGCUGAAGUAGGUCCCAAGGGUACGGCUGUUCGCCGUUUAAAGUGGUACGCGAGCUGGGUUUAGAACGUCGUGAGACAGUUCGGUCCCUAUCUGCCGUGGGCGUUGGAAGAUUGAAAGGGGCUGCUCCUAGUACGAGAGGACCGGAGUGGACGCACCACUGGUGUUCGGGUUGUCAUGCCAAUGGCAUUGCCCGGUAGCUAAGUGCGGAAGAGAUAACCGCUGAAAGCAUCUAAGCGGGAAACUUGCCUUGAGAUGAGUCUUCCCUGACUCUUUAAGAGUCCUAAAGGAACGUUUAAGACUAAGACGUUGAUAGGUUGGGUGUGUAAGCGUAGCGAUACGUUGAGCUAACCAAUACUAAUGAACCGUGAGGCUUAACCUGACAACACCGAAGGUGUUUUAG
RNAcentral lists this ribosomal RNA (2939 nucleotides) under Providencia rettgeri. RNAcentral's name for it is "bacterial LSU rRNA". It matches the Rfam family "Bacterial large subunit ribosomal RNA". The record is from RNAcentral. Lineage: Bacteria; Pseudomonadati; Pseudomonadota; Gammaproteobacteria; Enterobacterales; Morganellaceae.